AGUCUUUGUGCCUGGAGGAAGAACUCCAGUUCCAGUUAAGAGUUAUGAGGCAUCACCAGCACUUGAUGCUCCCAGUCAAGAAGUGCCUGUUCAGGAGAGCUCUGACCCCCCUAUUGAUCAACCUCCCCAGUUCCCAUCAUCACCUGAGCCCAGUGGAAAGAAGAUCAAAUCCUGCUGGUUCA
Pocillopora damicornis (cauliflower coral) is the source of this 182-nucleotide long non-coding RNA. NCBI's taxonomy places the organism in Eukaryota, Metazoa, Cnidaria, Anthozoa, Scleractinia, Pocilloporidae. The record is from RefSeq and is a predicted model, not a curated record.